UGGGGAAUCUUGCGCAAUGCGCGAAAGCGUGGCGCAGCAACGCCGCGUGGGGGAAGAAGGCCUUCGGGUUGUAAACCCCUUUCAGGAGGGACGAAGGUGUGGCGGUGAAUAGCCGUCCGCACUGACGGUACCUCCACAAGAAGCCCCGGCUAACUACGUGCCAGCAGCCGCGGUAAUACGUAGGGGGCUAGCGUUGUCCGGAAUCAUUGGGCGUAAAGCGCGCGUAGGCGGCCCGGUAAGUCCGCUCUGAAAGUCCAGGGCUCAACCCUGGAAUGCGGGUGGAUACUGCCGGGCUAGAGUCCGGAAGAGGCGAGUGGAAUUCCUGGUGUAGCGGUGGAGUGCGCAGAUAUCAGGAGGAACACCAAUAGCGAAGGCAGCUCGCUGGGACGGUACUGACGCUAAGGCGCGAAAGCGUGGGGAGCAAACAGGAUUAGAUACCCUGGUAGUCCACGCCGUAAACGAUGGGCACUAGGUGUGGGAGGUGUCGACUCCUCCCGUGCCGACGCUAACGCAUUAAGUGCCCCGCCUNNGGAGUACGGCCGCAAGGCU
RNAcentral lists this ribosomal RNA (549 nucleotides) under uncultured bacterium. RNAcentral describes it as "bacterial SSU rRNA". It matches the Rfam family "Bacterial small subunit ribosomal RNA", at positions 355 to 895 of the family's 1533-position model. The record is from RNAcentral.